CUAUAGCUUUUGGAAACUGGUUUUGCUUAGCCGCAAAUUAAAAGGGAAUCGUGUGAAAAUCACGAACUGUCGCGCAACUGUAAGUAACCGAAGUCUUUAUUAAAAAUCCACUGUGCAAGGCAUGGGAAGGAAAUAAGAUGUUACAAGUCAGGAGACCUGCCUUUUUCUUUAUACAAAA
Molecule: non-coding RNA, 178 nt
Filed under: Chryseobacterium sp.
Lineage: Bacteria; Pseudomonadati; Bacteroidota; Flavobacteriia; Flavobacteriales; Weeksellaceae
Source: RNAcentral